UUUAACCUACGGGGCGCGGCAGUGAGGAAUAUUGGUCAAUGGGCGGGAGCCUGAACCAGCCAAGUCGCGUGAGGGAAGACGGUCCUACGGAUUGUAAACCUCUUUUGCCGGGGAGCGACGGGGUCCUUGCGAGGUCCCAAUGAGAGUACCCGGAGAAAAAGCAUCGGCUAACUCCGUGCCAGCAGCCGCGGUAAUACGGAGGAUGCGAGCGUUAUCCGGAUUUAUUGGGUUUAAAGGGUGCGUAGGCGGGCUGUUAAGUCAGCGGUCAAAUGUCGGGGCUCAACCCCGGCCUGCCGUUGAAACUG
This 305-nucleotide ribosomal RNA is filed under the name uncultured bacterium. RNAcentral's name for it is "bacterial SSU rRNA". It matches the Rfam family "Bacterial small subunit ribosomal RNA", at positions 333 to 635 of the family's 1533-position model. The record is from RNAcentral.